GUCCCAGGCGUCAUGUCCCUGCGCGUCCCCUGGGGACCUGGCCCGGGCCCCGGCCGCGACCGUGCCCCCCUCUCUCUCUCUGUCCCUCUAGAGAAACAUCCAAGAGGCCUUCCGCGCCGGCAGGAAGCCCGACAGGGCCGUGGCGAGCGUAGAUGCUCCGGUCCCCCCGCGCCGUCUACAACUACAGCGUGCAGACCCUCAACGCCGCGGAGCUGGCCAAGAAGCAGCUGCACCGGCAGAUGGCCAAGGUGCCCGGGAGGAGGUACACGUAUUCCCAGCGUUUCCUCUCGGCCACCCUGGAGCCCCUCGACGUCCAGGAAGAGGACAGGAAGGCCCGGGAGAGGUCGCGCCGGGCCUGGCUCACGCCCGCUGGCUUCCAGGUGACGGGCCUCAGGGAUGGCAUCGAGGAGAACCGGCCGGGGCUGCAGCUGCCCGUCAUCACGGACGUGGUCGAGGAGUGGAAGGAGAAGGAGCUCUUCGCCAACAAGCUCAAGCCCGUGCUGGACCGGGACCGCUGGGGCUGGGACCGGCGCCACCUGGACUUCGAUCUCUACACCAGGCCUCCCCCUACUUCCUUCCCAGUGCCGCCUUCGCCUGCCCCGAAGCCGGGGGUGACAGUAUCUUCUAGAAAAUGAUGGAAUAAAUACGCAACCCUGGGAACCGCGCUGAGAUGCUCAGCGGGGACAGCCGCGUCGGGGCCGUGUCUGGGCCGAGGUCUGUUCGCCAGCGUCCAAAAGCUUCCCGCCCUUUGAUUCCACACUCGCUGGCCAGGGCGAACCCCAGGAACCGGCAGCCUCAGGUCUGUAAUUAUGCACCACUGCAUGCACCCAGUUGACUGAAGUAUACUUAUUGAUUGUUCGUAAACAAGUAUAAAUUGCAAAAAAAAAAAACAAAAAAAACCCAAAAACAAUAACAACAACAACAUAAAAAAAAAUGCCAAAAGCGACACUCAGGAAUUUUUGUAUGCACGAGUCACUAAAGGGAAAUUAUAUAUACAGAAAAAUAGAGAGAGAGAAGAAAGUAGAAAAAAUAGAAAGAAAUGAGCUGGACAACUAAAAAUAUAUAUGAAAAAAAAAAAAAAAACGAGCCGGGCGCGGUGGCGCACGCCUGUAGUCCCAGCUACUCGGGAGGGAGGCCGAGGAGGGAGGAUCGCUCAAUGAGGUCAGGAGGUGGAGGCCGGCCUGAGCAAGAGCGAGACCUCGUCUCUACUAAAAGUAUAGAAAAGAAAUGAGCUGGACAAGUAAAAAUAUAUAGAAAAAACGAGCCGGGCAUGGUGGCGCGUGCCUGUAGUCCCAGCUACUCGGGAGGGAGGCUGAGGCAGGAGGAUCGCUGGAGGCCAGGAGUCGGAGGCUGCUGUGAGCGAGGCUGACGCCACGGCGCUCACUCCAGCCCCGGCGACAGAGCGAGACUCUGUCUCCAAAAAACAAAAACAGGAACCCGAGGCCCCCAAAUCUGGAGGCGGGAAUAGCUGGG
Molecule: long non-coding RNA, 1473 nt
Filed under: Microcebus murinus (gray mouse lemur)
Lineage: Eukaryota; Metazoa; Chordata; Mammalia; Primates; Cheirogaleidae
Description: lncRNA (ENSMICG00000048210.1)
Source: RNAcentral